UACGGAGGUGGCAAGCGUUGCUCGGAAUCACUGGGCGUAAAGGGCGCGUAGGCGGGGAGGUAAGUCGGGUGUGAAAUCCCUCGGCCCAACCGAGGAACUGCGCCCGAGACUGCUUCUCUUGAGUCCCGGAGAGGAAGAUGGAAUUCCCGGUGUAGCGGUGAAAUGCGCAGAUAUCAGGAGGAACACCGGUGGCGAAGGCGGGUCUCUGGGCCGAUACUGACGCUGAGGAGCGAAAGCGUGGGGAGCGAACAGG
This 253-nucleotide ribosomal RNA is filed under the name uncultured bacterium. RNAcentral's name for it is "partial 16S ribosomal RNA". It matches the Rfam family "Bacterial small subunit ribosomal RNA", at positions 524 to 776 of the family's 1533-position model. The record is from RNAcentral.